Molecule: unclassified non-coding RNA, 989 nt
Filed under: Hevea brasiliensis (rubber tree)
Lineage: Eukaryota; Viridiplantae; Streptophyta; Magnoliopsida; Malpighiales; Euphorbiaceae
Source: RNAcentral
GUUAACUUCGGCGACGUCGUCGGCGAUUUCUUUCCUCCUUCUGUCGACGUCGAAUUACAGAUUGAAAGAAGCAGUGAUGAAACCACAAUCGGCAUCUUCUUCACUGAAGAACCCAGUGAAGUUCAGAAUGCCAACAGCUGAGAAUCUUGUUCCUAUCCGUCUCGACAUCGAAAUUGAUGGCCAAAGAUUUAAAGAUGCUUUUACUUGGAACCCCAAUGAUCCUGACUCAGAGGUGGUGGUGUUUGCGAAGAGAACUGUGAAGGAUUUGAAACUUCCUCCUGCUUUUGUCACUCAGAUUGCUCAAUCCAUUCAGUCACAGUUGACAGAAUUUCGGUCAUAUGAAGGACAAGAUAUGCACACUGGCGAGAAAGUUGUUCCCAUCAAGCUUGACCUCCGAGUAAAUCACACAGUUAUCAAGGACCACUUUUUUUGGGACAUGAACAAUUUUGAGAGUGAUCCUGAAGAAUUUGCACGAACAUUUUGUGAAGAUAUGAAAAUUGAAGACCCAGAAGUUGGACCUGCAAUUGCCAUAGCAAUUAGAGAACAGCUUUAUGAGAUUGCAAAGCAAAGUGUCGCAUCCGCGAGAGAAAGCAGGGCUAAUAAGAAAGGACGCAGAGGAAUGGAACAUCCCUCAGCCAGUAAAGUAGGUUUGCCUGCACUGGACCUGGGCAAGCUAUUUAGCAUAAAAUCAAGUGUCGUCCGGAAGAAGAGGGACGCUGAUGCAUAUGAACCAAUUGUCGAUCACCUGUCAAAUGAAGAGGUGGAUGCCCUCGAGGCUAAGGAAGAGAGGUCUGCUCGGUGAUUCAGACAAUGUCUGUUGGAAUGGGUACCAGCAGUGUAAAGGGGAACUUGUUUAAAGUUUUAGAAUGAUCCUAGUCGUAGUAUAAGCCAAAAUCCCGUGUUGUAGAUAAUGUUCAGAUUUUUGCAUUAAUCUGGAGAUCACAGUUACUUCUGUUUAUCAAAAGGAAAUAUGGAACAGCACUUCUGUG